Molecule: unclassified non-coding RNA, 653 nt
Filed under: Hevea brasiliensis (rubber tree)
Lineage: Eukaryota; Viridiplantae; Streptophyta; Magnoliopsida; Malpighiales; Euphorbiaceae
Source: RNAcentral
GACGUAUUCCACUACUUGAGCUUAGAAUGCGUCAAUGUCCGUUGAUAAGUGAUACUUCAAUUAUGGUGUUAGCAUCAAUGAAGGUUGAUGAAGAAGGAUGGUAUGGGAGCAGUUUACGGCUGUUGGAUCUUUAUAAUUGUGGAGGUAUAACUCAGCUUUCAUUCCAAUGGUUAAAGAAACCUUAUUUCCCGAGAUUGAGAUGGUUAGGAGUAUCUAGUAGUGUCAGCAGGGAUGUGCUGGACACUUUAUCCAGGAAUAGACCGUUUCUGCAUAUAGCUUUUCAUGGGGAGGAGCUGGGAAUGACUGGCCAAUGGGAUAAUUCAGAUGAUCUCUAUAUGCAUGACUAUGAUGAAGUUGAUGAGUUGGAACAAUGGCUUGAAGGAGAAAAUGAGGGAGAUGAUGAAGACAUUCAAGAAGCAGAAAACAACGCAGAGUGAAUGACUGUAAGAUGGCAACUUAUUUAUAUAAAUGUGUUGUAAAUCUAACUGUGUUCUAGUUUUGUAUAAAUUGUUAUGAUUUUCAUCCCUACUUAGCUUUACUGUUGUAAUAUUGUAUGGCAAAUCGUGAUUCCUGAGUGUUUUAUAGGUUGCCAUAAUUUGCCUGUUAUGUAUAUGGCUUGGGCUACCCUUGUAACAAUCAGUUUUACAAGCUGA